RNAcentral lists this long non-coding RNA (1506 nucleotides) under Homo sapiens (human). RNAcentral's name for it is "HSALNT0121276". Lineage: Eukaryota; Metazoa; Chordata; Mammalia; Primates; Hominidae. The record is from RNAcentral.
UUUAUGUGUCAUGUUGACAAGGCCAUGGGUACCCAGUUAUGUGGUUAAACAUUAUUCUAGCCAUUUCUGUGAGGGGUUUUCUGAAUGAGAUUAACAUUUGAACCUGUGGACUGAGUAAAGCAGAGUGCCCUUGCUGAUGGGGUGGGCCUCAUCCAAUCCAUUGAGGAAGUGAAUAAAAUAAAGAGGCUGAGAAAGGGAAAAUUUGCUCUCUCUAUCUUGGAGCUGGACCACUGGUCUUCUUUUGCCCUCAGACUUGAACUUGGACUGGAACUUACACCAUCAGCUCUCCUGAUUCUCAGGCCUUUGGACUCAGUCUGGAACUCUACCAUCAGCUCUCCUGAUUCUCAGGCCUUUGGACUCAGUCUGGAACUCUACCAUCAGCUCUCCUGGGUCUCUUGCUGAAUACAGAUCUUGGGACUUCUCAGCCUUUGUAACUGUAGUGACUUCGAGCUGGGUACAUUCUAACUUAGAUGGCCUCAGCUGCAAAGCCAACUGGACUCCAGCCUUGCAGACCAGUGAGGAUGGAAAUGAUUGCAAAACCAAGAUGGACGAUGUUGAGAUGGACUCAACCCUGCUAUUGAGAUUGGCCCUUACAGGGGAGGAUAUUUGGUCUAGCGUUCAGAGUCUAAAGGCACAGAGUGAGAAUUUAUUUCAGGCAGAUAUCAAUAACCCCGAAGGCCCAGUCCAGCUGGUAGGGCAUACCUGAGAUGCAGGCAACGGGUAACAUGCAAAGUCAGGUGCACAGUGGGAUGUGGUUUGAGAGAUUAGUGCCCCUCCCCAGUGAGAUUUCCACAGCCAUCUGUGGGAUGGGGGACUGAGGCCAUUCUAGCUCCUUAGGAAGGGGCAAGAGGUCAUUGGAGGCAGGGACCUGGUGUGUAAGAGUACUGGGUGGGAAUCAGAUCAGGCAAGGACCAGGAGAGAUUGGCAGGGGGCUGAAGGGUCAGGCCUAGACACUGAGCCAGCAGGCAGUGCAGAGGGCUCAUGGCACCAGGGCUUACCCCAAGCACAAAGGCCUGAGAUGGAUUAGUCCCUAAUUUCAGACCUCUCUAGCUGUGGAUAGCUGACAUAUUUUCUUUCUCUGGGAUAAAUUAGAUGAGGACCUGGGAGGACCGCAUUUUCUGGGAGAAGCCCUGGAAUACAAGAUUUGAUAUACUUAAAGGGAGCUCACAUUCCCAUCAACCUGGAGCAACUCACCUGGGAAUGUCUGAGUUGGCCUCAAAGUCUCAGCCAAAUUCGGACCUGUCUAAGGAAUGUGGAAGCUGAAACCACCUUCACCUGGAUCUUUGCCCCGUGGCAACAUCCUUGCCCUGUGAAUUGCUGCCUACAUAUAUGGAAGUUGAAGAGAGGAGACAUGUUUUAGCCAAACAGAUAACAUAAAUGAUUUUUAUUAUGGAAUUAAAUAAUUAUGUAGAUAUAUUAGAGCAAAGUUAUUUUAUCUGGAUUGUAUUUUGGCCUAUGUGUCCUAUUCAACAACAAUCUUUUUAAAAAAAUUUACAUCCUCCUGCA